GCGACACCAGGUGAGGCGGGAC
This 22-nucleotide ribosomal RNA is filed under the name Goodenia stobbsiana. RNAcentral's name for it is "partial 25S large subunit ribosomal RNA". Lineage: Eukaryota; Viridiplantae; Streptophyta; Magnoliopsida; Asterales; Goodeniaceae. The record is from RNAcentral.